This 497-nucleotide ribosomal RNA is filed under the name uncultured bacterium. Its description in RNAcentral is "partial 16S ribosomal RNA". It matches the Rfam family "Bacterial small subunit ribosomal RNA", at positions 28 to 507 of the family's 1533-position model. The record is from RNAcentral.
GAUGAACGCUGGCGGCGUGCCUAAUACAUGCAAGUCGAGCGAACAGACGAGGAGCUUGCUCCUCUGACGUUAGCGGCGGACGGGUGAGUAACACGUGGAUAACCUACCUAUAAGACUGGGAUAACUUCGGGAAACCGGAGCUAAUACCGGAUAAUAUAUUGAACCGCAUGGUUCAAUAGUGAAAGCCGGUUUUGCUGUCACUUAUAGAUGGUUCCGCGCCGCAUUAGCUAGUUGGUAAGGUAACGGCUUACCAAGGCGACGAUGCGUAGCCGAUCUGAGAGGGUGAUCGGCCACACUGGAACUGAGACACGGUCCAGACUCCUACGGGAGGCAGCAGUAGGGAAUCUUCCGCAAUGGGCGAAAGCCUGACGGAGCAACGCCGCGUGAGUGAUGAAGGUCUUCGGAUCGUAAAACUCUGUUAGUAGGGAAGAACAAAUGUGUGAGUAACUAUGCACGUCUUGACGGUACCUAAUCAGAAAGCCACGGCUAACUACGUG